Molecule: transfer RNA, 72 nt
Organism: Patagioenas fasciata monilis
Lineage: Eukaryota; Metazoa; Chordata; Aves; Columbiformes; Columbidae
Rfam family: tRNA
About the family: Transfer RNA (tRNA) molecules are approximately 80 nucleotides in length. Their secondary structure includes four short double-helical elements and three loops (D, anti-codon, and T loops).
Source: Rfam
GGCUCCAUAGCUCAGGGGUAGGGCACUGGCCUAAUGAACCAGGAGUCAUGAGUUCAAGUUUAACUGGAGCCU